GGCGGACGGGUGCGUAACACGUGAGUAAUCUGCCCGGAAGAGGGGGAUAGCCCAGGGAAACUUGGAUUAAUACCCCGUGUGCUCGCAAGAGUAAAGGUGCUGCAAGGUGCCGCUUCCGGAUGAGCUCGCGGCCUAUCAGCUAGUUGGUGGGGUAAAGGCCUACCAAGGCAACGACGGGUAGCUGGUCUGAGAGGAUGACCAGCCACACUGGAACUGAGACACGGUCCAGACACCUACGGGUGGCAGCAGUCGAGAAUCAUUCACAAUGGGCGAAAGCCUGAUGGUGUGACGCCGCGUGGAGGAUGAAGGUCUUCGGAUUGUAAACUCCUGUCAAGUGAGAGUAAAGCUGCGCGUUAACUGCGUCGCAGUCUGAGAGUAUCACUAGAGGAAGAGACGGCUAACUCUGUGCCAGCAGCCGCGGUAAUACAGAGGUCUCAAGCGUUGUUCGGAAUCACUGGGCGUAAAGGGUGCGUAGGCCGCAAUGUAAGUCAGAUGUGAAAGCCCCGGGCUCAACCCGGGAAUUGCAUCCGAUACUGCAUUGCUAGA
RNAcentral lists this ribosomal RNA (546 nucleotides) under uncultured Verrucomicrobiae bacterium. RNAcentral describes it as "bacterial SSU rRNA". It matches the Rfam family "Bacterial small subunit ribosomal RNA", at positions 97 to 645 of the family's 1533-position model. Lineage: Bacteria; Pseudomonadati; Verrucomicrobiota; Verrucomicrobiia. The record is from RNAcentral.